GAUCUUCUUUGUUCAUAUGACCAAAGAACUGGCUCCAUACAUGCACUUAUACAUUUAAAGGAUCACAGUGGUUUAGUUGUCGGUUUGGUAACUUUAUUUCAGAGGAGGAGACAUUAGGAUAGAAGCUACAACCCUUCUUCCACUUUCGCCACAUAAACUGUUUUUAAGUAUUUAAUGAUCUGGGGCAGCUACUAUCGUCUCUCCUCCUGGCUUCACUGGGAAGCCAGGUGUAACCCUAGAUCAUUUGUUUUCCAUAAUGGCGCUUCCACUAGUCAGUUGCGGUCGGAGGAGAAAUGUAAACGUCAUGGAAAUGAUGCUGCUGGCCGCAAUCUCAUUUACAUUGCAUUAACAUUACAUUUAAAUUGUUCCACCCAUUUCAAUGAGUCGGUUUUAUUCAAGGUUUUAUGUGGAGUAAGAAAAUAAGUUAUAAAUGGUAGAUGAACUGCAUUUAAAUAGCAUUUUUCUAACCAGUGGCCAAUCAAAGCAAUUUACAAUCAUUGUCUAAUAUUCCCCCAUUCAUACACACACCGACAGCCAUGUCAUACAUGCAAGGUAACCGCCAGUUCUUCGGGAGCACUUAAGGCCCUUACACACCAACCAGAUUAUUGGUCGUUGGACAGUCUGGCGAGAUCAGUGACCUGAGUCUGUUUGGUGUGUGCUGUGUGAUCGUCAAAGCCGUCGGUGAUCUUUUCACGCUGUAUUCUUGUCAGCCGAUUGCACAGGUUGAAUCGGCCAUGACCAAAUCGGUCGGACUGCCUUUUCCCGCCAGACUGUCCGACGACCGAUAAUCUGGUUGGUGUGUAAGGGCCAUUAGGGUCUGGGGUCUUGCCUAGGGAAAGCUCGACAGCGGGAUAGAACUAGCAACCUUCCGGUUACAAGUCAACCCGAGGGAAAAAAAGCACGAACAGCAGUUAUGGGAGGGAGCCGAGCUGUUUGAGUUCAUCAGAGUUCGUCAGAACUUAAGAAAGACCCAGACACCACACAAGGCUUCUGAUGCUGAAGCCGAUGCAGCAGAAUGAAGGUAUCAUGGAUGGUUGCUGAGGUGGGACCCAGCCGGACUGUACCGAUGGAUCAGACCUGUUGGCUCCAAGUUGCUGUGACCACAAACCUAGCAAAACCCAGUGGAGAUCCUUCGAUUCCUUUUAAUUGUAGGGGUUGUGCAAGGAGGGUGAUGGAUGGAAUGGCUACAAGAGGCACCGCUUUCUAAAGAUACAAGGAACUAUUUCCCACCCACCACAUCUGGUAGGUGUAGGGACCAGACAUUGCAGAAGUGAAUGGAGCCCUUUAAGUCUCUUGAAAUUCCUUUUCUACAUCUAGAACAUAAAAAGCUGUAGGUGAAAACAGCUAGAGGUAUCUUAUUUCGUCUGUGUGCUGGUCAGGAGGUAAGCCGACAUUGAGUGAUCCAGGAUCAGUUAACCAAGCCAGACCAUGUCCCGGUAUUUAAAGAUAAAAUGUAAUGAAAAACAACUUGACGAGUUGACGUUUGAUUACACUUGCCUAGUUAUAGAGAUGUGCCCUAUUGAGAUUAGUUUUAGACCAGUUUUAAUAUUUAAGGUUUAUUUGUUUACCUUCUCAGUUUAAACCAUAUAUUCUGUUAUAUCAUCUGCCCUGAUCAUUAUACAUCAUCAUUCUAUUCAUGCAGCUGUUGGAAAUAUUCAAUAAAUUCCUCCUCUUUUACCAUCAUAAUGGGUAAUGCCACUGUUGGAGAAACCUACCAGAUAGGCCAGAUGUCUGUAUAUCUUCAACACACUCUUCUUGUAAUAAAAGAUUACUUGUUUUACUCUA
Molecule: long non-coding RNA, 1785 nt
Organism: Gadus morhua (Atlantic cod)
Lineage: Eukaryota; Metazoa; Chordata; Actinopteri; Gadiformes; Gadidae
Exons: 2
Source: RefSeq, a predicted model, not a curated record